Molecule: long non-coding RNA, 1342 nt
Organism: Trichomycterus rosablanca
Lineage: Eukaryota; Metazoa; Chordata; Actinopteri; Siluriformes; Trichomycteridae
Exons: 2
Source: RefSeq, a predicted model, not a curated record
GCUAGAAUUACAGUAGCUGUCAGUUCGACUCCGGUUCUGGUGCGGGUACUGGGAGAGUAAAGGUCAGUUCUCGGUUAAACAGCGCUGUAGGGCCGGUAAUGCGGGAGGAUACAGGGUGUACCGACUGACCUCUGGAGCAUUUCCGUCUAAAUGAAGUUUUCGUGGUUCCUGGUGUGGAAUACUCAGCCGUAGUUGGUGCGACUGGGCUGUAAAUUCCUCAACUAACGUCCGGGGAUUGAUGAGCACUGACACGGAGAGACAAACCGGUUUUACGGAGUGCUAUUUCAGUACAAAAUGUGCGACUUUCACGCCUGUAGAACACAUUAAGCGUCCCCGUGAACCUGUGGAUCACUUCCUACAGUAACGCUGCGAGUAGAACUUCAGACCAGAACUUUGAGGCGACCGUUGACUUUGACAUGAACGACGGUUACAUUUCCGAUAAAUUUCAAUUUUUUGGAUUCUAAUGCGCGAGCGGCUCUAGAAGCUUCUGUUCGGACUCCGCGCCACGCGCCGCGCUCGUGCUCGCGCUCGUGCUCGUGCUCGUGCUCGUGCUGCUCCACAGGUCUGCAAGUUCUCCCUGAUUAAGUGGCUCCGGACGAACCAUGUCUAACAUCUCAGCGACCGAGAAAGUGGACGGCUUCACCCGCAAAUCGGUGCGCAAGGCGCAGAGGCAGCGGAAGUCUUCGAGCUCGUCCCGGUUUCGGAGCAACAGUUUGUCGGAGGAGCUGUCAGCACUGCCGUCGCUCAGAGAAUCCGGAGCGUCGAGCACAAACGCAACGGGCUCCUUUUUCUUCUUCUUCCUCUUCUUCGGCUGAAUCCUCUUCUUCGCUGCCUGUGUGCUGGGGAAUGCCGGAGAAACACGACGCUACACCGCCACCGCCAGGUCAGCCGCCGUAUAACUAACCAACACCAACAACCCUAAACCACCAGUACCAACAACCUAACUAACCCUAAACUAACCCUGAACACCUAUACCAACACCAACAACCUAACUAACCCUAAACCCCUAUACCAACACCAACAACCUAACUAACCAACACCAACAACCCUAAACCACCAGUACCAACAACCUAACUAACCCUAAACACCUAUACCAGCACCAAAACCCUAAACCACCAACACCAAACCCUAACUAACCCUAAACACCUAUACCAGUAACAAAACCUAACUAACCCUGAACACCUAUACUAACACCAAACCCUAACUAACCCUAAAACCCUAUACCAACACCAACAACCUAACUAACCCUAAACAUCUAUACCAGCACCAACAACCUAACUAACCCUAAACACCUAUACCAGCACCAACAACCUAACUAACCCUAAACACCAACACCAACAAC